RNAcentral lists this ribosomal RNA (483 nucleotides) under uncultured bacterium. Its description in RNAcentral is "bacterial SSU rRNA". It matches the Rfam family "Bacterial small subunit ribosomal RNA", at positions 30 to 504 of the family's 1533-position model. The record is from RNAcentral.
UGAACGCUGGCGGCAGGCCUAACACAUGCAAGUCGAGCGGUAACAGAUCUAGCUUGCUAGAUGCUGACGAGCGGCGGACGGGUGAGUAACGCGUAGGAAUCUACCCAGUAGCGGGGGAUAAGCCAGAGAAAUUUGGUCUAAUACCGCAUACGCCCUUAGGGGGAAAGCAGGGGCUCUUCGGACCUUGCACUAUUGGAUGAGCCUGCGUGAGAUUAGCUAGUUGGUGAGGUAAGAGCUCACCAAGGCGACGAUCUCUAGCUGGUCUGAGAGGAUGAUCAGCCACACUGGAACUGAGACACGGUCCAGACUCCUACGGGAGGCAGCAGUGGGGAAUAUUGCACAAUGGGGGAAACCCUGAUGCAGCCAUGCCGCGUGUGUGAAGAAGGCCCUAGGGUUGUAAAGCACUUUCAGUCGUGAGGAAAGGUGUGUACUUAAUACGUGCAUACUGUGACGUUAGCGACAGAAGAAGGACCGGCUAACUCC